RNAcentral lists this ribosomal RNA (429 nucleotides) under uncultured bacterium. RNAcentral's name for it is "bacterial SSU rRNA". It matches the Rfam family "Bacterial small subunit ribosomal RNA", at positions 354 to 796 of the family's 1533-position model. The record is from RNAcentral.
GUGGGGAAUUUUCCGCAAUGGGCGAAAGCCUGACGGAGCAAUCUCGCGUGAGGGAUGACGGCCUAUGGGUUGUAAACCUCUUUUUUCAGGGAGGAACAAAAUGACGUGUACCUGAAGAAUAAGCAUCGGCUAACUCCGUGCCAGCAGCCGCGGUAAGACGGAGGAUGCAAGUGUUAUCCGGAAUCACUGGGCGUAAAGCGUCUGUAGGUGGUUUAAUAAGUCAACUGUUAAAUCUUGAAGCUCAACUUCAAAAUCGCAGUCGAAACUAUUAGACUAGAGUAUAGUAGGGGUAAAGGGAAUUUCCAGUGGAGCGGUGAAAUGCGUAGAUAUUGGAAAGAACACCGAUGGCGAAGGCACUUUACUGGGCUAUUACUGACACUCAGAGACGAAAGCUAGGGUAGCAAAUGGGAUUAGAUACCCUAGUAGUCC